RNAcentral lists this non-coding RNA (148 nucleotides) under Gorilla gorilla gorilla (western lowland gorilla). Lineage: Eukaryota; Metazoa; Chordata; Mammalia; Primates; Hominidae. The record is from Rfam by way of RNAcentral.
GCUGGGCGUGGUGGCGCACACCUGUAAUCCCAGUUACUCAGGAGGCUGAGGCAGGAGAAUCGCUUGAACCCGGGGUACAGAGGUUGCAGUGAGCAGAGAUCAUGCCACUGCUCUGCAGCCUGGGUGACAGAGUGAGACACUGUCUCAA